This is a long non-coding RNA of Hippocampus zosterae (dwarf seahorse), 555 nucleotides long. RefSeq lists it as uncharacterized. The record is from RefSeq and is a predicted model, not a curated record. The transcript has 3 exons. Lineage: Eukaryota; Metazoa; Chordata; Actinopteri; Syngnathiformes; Syngnathidae.
CUCCCCGGGCCUGCGUGGGUUUUCUCCAGGUACUCCGCUUCCUCCCACAUUCCCCAACCGAGGGACACUUUAGAGUCUAAAGCAGUGGUCCCCAAACUACGGCCCGCGGGCACAUUUAACCCGGCCCUCUAACCCUCCUGUUGUCCUCGGGUCAAAAUGACCCAUCACUGUGUUAAAAACGCCCCAAAAAAACCCUAAAUGAUAAUUUUUUAACUUGAAAUUUUAUUACUUUUCCUAGAUUGUCCCCAACUGCAGAAAAAUUGAAAUGUUUUUAUUCACAUUUCCAUGGAAGCUGUACAAAAAAAAAAUAUAAAGGUGGUCUUCGGGUCAAAAUGACCCAUGACGCAAAUAGGGUUGAAAUCAAGGUCACAAAGUUAUUUACACACCAUAGAAUGUUUCAGUGUUUUAGUUGUGUCUCAGUUCAAUUAGUAGAACACGUGAACAAGACAGUAGCAGACAUAAACAAGACAAGAUAGCUCCCCUACGAUCGUCACACUUUUUCUGUUACAAACUGACACCGGCCCCCCCAUCAGAGACUGCCCCGAGUGCUCCGAC